This 562-nucleotide long non-coding RNA is filed under the name Sarcophilus harrisii (Tasmanian devil). RNAcentral's name for it is "lncRNA (ENSSHAG00000031094.1)". Lineage: Eukaryota; Metazoa; Chordata; Mammalia; Dasyuromorphia; Dasyuridae. The record is from RNAcentral.
GCUGUGGGGUGGAGGCCAUGACUGGUGUGGAGGCCAUGACUGUGGUGUGGGUCCUGAGACAGAGGCAGAGAAGUAGAGGGACUUAAGGUGGGACAUGAGGAUGUUGGCUGAAGAGCGUCCAGAGGAGAUGGGGGAGCUUCUUACAAGGAGCCUUGCCUGCUGCCUUAAUGCUGCUGCUUGCCUUCUGCCCCACAUCCUGUUUGCUUGCUGUCACCCCUUUUAGAACGGUGCAAGUUCUUAUCUUUGGAUCGUGUCCAUUUUGCCAAAGGCCAGAACUGAACUCAACUCAACCAACUCCAGGAGAGCUUAUUAUGUGCAAGUUGGAGGGGAGCAGAUUGUGAUCGCUAUAGAAAUGUGAGCUGUUAUCAUUAUUACUCACCCUCUCCAGACAUUCCCGGUGACUCCCUCCUUGGCUUUGUUCACUCUGUUCCUUCCUGCGGGGAUGCCUUCCCCUUCAGCCUUUGGCUCGGAAAAUCCAGGCCAUCCUUCAAAGAUGGAGAAAUGGUCUCCGGGGGCCGAGCUGAAGCAUGUGUCAGGGCAGAGCCAGGAUUCCAACCUGAAU